RNAcentral lists this long non-coding RNA (213 nucleotides) under Elaeis guineensis (African oil palm). RNAcentral's name for it is "long non-coding RNA (EGUI_LNC015627)". Lineage: Eukaryota; Viridiplantae; Streptophyta; Magnoliopsida; Arecales; Arecaceae. The record is from RNAcentral.
UGAACCAAAUAUUUCAGGAGAUUUGAUCAUUCCGAUUUCGAUUCUAAAUUAUUUUAAUUUUCAUUCUGAUUUUGAUUUUGAUCAUGAAUCAACCACCUCCCAAGUGUAGUUAUCCUGACCACUUUUGAUCCCUUAAUCCAUGGGAGGAAAGAGUUCCCUCCGCUCGCACAAAAUUUGGUCACGUUGCCUCCACUCAUGAGAAUCAAUCGCGCC